AUUGCCCCUGCCUGCCGGGCUUAAAAUGCAGGAUAGGCCGUGCGCGGAGUGGCCGCGCGUUUACAAGUAAAAUCUGGCUGAAAAAGGAGAAU
Molecule: non-coding RNA, 92 nt
Submitted as: unclassified sequences
Source: Rfam